GACGAACGCUGGCGGCGUGCUUAACACAUGCAAGUCGAACGGAAAGGCCCUGCUUUUGUGGGGUGCUCGAGUGGCGAACGGGUGAGUAACACGUGAGUAACCUGCCCUUGACUUUGGGAUAACUUCAGGAAACUGGGGCUAAUACCGGAUAGGAGCUCCUGCUGCAUGGUGGGGGUUGGAAAGUUUCGGCGGUUGGGGAUGGACUCGCGGCUUACCAGCUUGUUGGUGGGGUAGUGGCUUACCCAGGCUUUGACGGGUCGCCGGCCUGAGAGGGUGACCGGCCACAUGGGGACUGAGAUACGGCGCAGACUCCUACGGGAGGCAGCAGUGGGGAAUAUUGCACAAUGGGCGGAAGCCUGAUGCAGAAACGCCGCGUGCGGGAUGACCGCCUUCGGGUUGUAAACCGCUUUCGCCUGUGACGAAGCGUGAGUGACGGUAAUGGGUAAAGAAGCACCGGCUAACUACGUG
RNAcentral lists this ribosomal RNA (468 nucleotides) under uncultured bacterium. RNAcentral describes it as "partial 16S ribosomal RNA". It matches the Rfam family "Bacterial small subunit ribosomal RNA", at positions 28 to 507 of the family's 1533-position model. The record is from RNAcentral.